This 81-nucleotide small RNA is filed under the name Mayetiola destructor (Hessian fly). RNAcentral's name for it is "epstein-Barr virus stable intronic sequence RNA 1". The record is from RNAcentral. Lineage: Eukaryota; Metazoa; Arthropoda; Insecta; Diptera; Cecidomyiidae.
GUAAUAAUUGAUUUUUGUUUGAUUAAGAGUGCAACAAUAUCAGCACACACACGCACACACACACACACACACAUAUUGCAG